GUUACUGCUAUCGGAGUUCGAUUAAGCCAUGCGAGUCUAAAGGUUUCUUCGGAAACCUUGGCGGACUGCUCAGUAACACGUGGAUAACCUACCCUUGGGACUGGAAUAACCCCGGGAAACUGGGGAUAAUACCGGAUAGAUCAGGGAUGCUGGAAUGCGCCUUGAUCCAAAGCUCCGGCGCCCAAGGAUGGGUCUGCGGCCUAUCAGGUUGUAGUGGGUGUAACGUACCUACUAGCCGACGACGGGUACGGGUUGUGAGAGCAAGAGCCCGGAGAUGGAUUCUGAGACACGAAUCCAGGCCCUACGGGGUGCAGCAGGCGCGAAAACUUUACAAUGUGCGAAAGCAUGAUAAGGGAACUCCGAGUGCCAGUAUCUAAUACUGGCCGUCCUUGUGCCUAAAACGCACAAGAUAGCAAGGGCCGGGUAAGACCGGUGCCAGCCGCCGCGGUAACACCGGCGGCCCGAGUGGUAGCCGCUAUUAUUGGGUCUAAAGGGUCCGUAGCCGGUUCGAUAAGUCUUCUGGGAAAUCUGGUUGCUUAACAAUCAGACUGCCAAGGGAUACUGUCGAACUUGAGACCGGGAGAGGUAAGAGGUACUUCAGGGGUAGGAGUGAAAUCUUGUAAUCCCUGGGGGACCAUCUGUGGCGAAGGCGUCUUACCAGAACGGGUCUGACGGUGAGGGACGAAAGCUGGGGGCGCAAACCGGAUUAGAUACCCGGGUAGUCCCAGCCGUAAACGAUGCUCGCUAUGUGUCAGGUACGGUGUGACCGUAUCUGGCGCCGUAGGGAAGCCGUGAAGCGAGCCACCUGGGAAGUACGGUCGCAAGACUGAAACUUAAAGGAAUUGGCGGGGGAGCACUACAACGGGUGGAGCCUGCGGUUUAAUUGGAUCAACGCCGGA
This 899-nucleotide ribosomal RNA is filed under the name uncultured archaeon. Its description in RNAcentral is "bacterial SSU rRNA". It matches the Rfam family "Archaeal small subunit ribosomal RNA", at positions 23 to 922 of the family's 1478-position model. The record is from RNAcentral.